This 1363-nucleotide ribosomal RNA is filed under the name Lactiplantibacillus plantarum. Its description in RNAcentral is "Lactobacillus plantarum 16S ribosomal RNA". It matches the Rfam family "Bacterial small subunit ribosomal RNA", at positions 93 to 1443 of the family's 1533-position model. The record is from RNAcentral. RNAcentral also lists the same sequence under 1 other name. Lineage: Bacteria; Bacillati; Bacillota; Bacilli; Lactobacillales; Lactobacillaceae.
GAGUGGCGAACUGGUGAGUAACACGUGGGAAACCUGCCCAGAAGCGGGGGAUAACACCUGGAAACAGAUGCUAAUACCGCAUAACAACUUGGACCGCAUGGUCCGAGUUUGAAAGAUGGCUUCGGCUAUCACUUUUGGAUGGUCCCGCGGCGUAUUAGCUAGAUGGUGAGGUAACGGCUCACCAUGGCAAUGAUACGUAGCCGACCUGAGAGGGUAAUCGGCCACAUUGGGACUGAGACACGGCCCAAACUCCUACGGGAGGCAGCAGUAGGGAAUCUUCCACAAUGGACGAAAGUCUGAUGGAGCAACGCCGCGUGAGUGAAGAAGGGUUUCGGCUCGUAAAACUCUGUUGUUAAAGAAGAACAUAUCUGAGAGUAACUGUUCAGGUAUUGACGGUAUUUAACCAGAAAGCCACGGCUAACUACGUGCCAGCAGCCGCGGUAAUACGUAGGUGGCAAGCGUUGUCCGGAUUUAUUGGGCGUAAAGCGAGCGCAGGCGGUUUUUUAAGUCUGAUGUGAAAGCCUUCGGCUCAACCGAAGAAGUGCAUCGGAAACUGGGAAACUUGAGUGCAGAAGAGGACAGUGGAACUCCAUGUGUAGCGGUGAAAUGCGUAGAUAUAUGGAAGAACACCAGUGGCGAAGGCGGCUGUCUGGUCUGUAACUGACGCUGAGGCUCGAAAGUAUGGGUAGCAAACAGGAUUAGAUACCCUGGUAGUCCAUACCGUAAACGAUGAAUGCUAAGUGUUGGAGGGUUUCCGCCCUUCAGUGCUGCAGCUAACGCAUUAAGCAUUCCGCCUGGGGAGUACGGCCGCAAGGCUGAAACUCAAAGGAAUUGACGGGGGCCCGCACAAGCGGUGGAGCAUGUGGUUUAAUUCGAAGCUACGCGAAGAACCUUACCAGGUCUUGACAUACUAUGCAAAUCUAAGAGAUUAGACGUUCCCUUCGGGGACAUGGAUACAGGUGGUGCAUGGUUGUCGUCAGCUCGUGUCGUGAGAUGUUGGGUUAAGUCCCGCAACGAGCGCAACCCUUAUUAUCAGUUGCCAGCAUUAAGUUGGGCACUCUGGUGAGACUGCCGGUGACAAACCGGAGGAAGGUGGGGAUGACGUCAAAUCAUCAUGCCCCUUAUGACCUGGGCUACACACGUGCUACAAUGGAUGGUACAACGAGUUGCGAACUCGCGAGAGUAAGCUAAUCUCUUAAAGCCAUUCUCAGUUCGGAUUGUAGGCUGCAACUCGCCUACAUGAAGUCGGAAUCGCUAGUAAUCGCGGAUCAGCAUGCCGCGGUGAAUACGUUCCCGGGCCUUGUACACACCGCCCGUCACACCAUGAGAGUUUGUAACACCCAAAGUCGGUGGGGUAACCUUU